UACAGAGGGUGCGGGCGUUAAUCGGAAUUACUGGGCGUAAAGCGCACGUAGGUGGCGACGUAAGUCGGGUGUGAAAGCCCCGGGCUCAACCUGGGAAUUGCAUUCGAGACUGCAUUGCUGGAGUACGGAAGAGGAGGGCGGAAUUCCAGGUGUAGCGGUGAAAUGCGUAGAUAUCGGGAGGAACAUCAGUGGCGAAGGCGGCCCUCUGGUCCAGUACUGACACUCAAGUGAGAAAGCGUGGGGAGCAAACAGG
This 253-nucleotide ribosomal RNA is filed under the name uncultured bacterium. RNAcentral's name for it is "partial 16S ribosomal RNA". It matches the Rfam family "Bacterial small subunit ribosomal RNA", at positions 524 to 776 of the family's 1533-position model. The record is from RNAcentral.